CCCGCCCCCAGCCCACCUCCAACUGACAGAGCAGCAGUUGCAGUUUAGAAUUUUCAGUUGUCAGUGCCCAAAAUCUUUCUCAUUGAUAAUAGCAUUUUAUUUUAUUAUUUAAUCAUAACAUCGAUUUAAAAUAUGUUUUUAAACUAGCGGGUCUAACUGCCUAAAAGAAAGAGUUUUCACCGAGCUAGCUAACACAGCUAGUUAGCUAGCUAGCUCCUUUAGCUUGUCCACACAACAUGCAGUGUGACUGACCAAGGCAAGAAAUUCUUUGGUUAGUUAAUAUGUCAUGUAGCUACAGUACAGCUUAAGGAAUCUACAUGGGCAGUUGUCAACUUGUGAGCCUGUAAAUGGACACUGGAGGUUAAGGAAUCUGCAUUGUGGACUCGAAUCAUUGCAAGGAUGAUCAAUGGAAACAGGAUGCACCUGAGCUCAAUUUCCAGUCUCAUAGCAAAGGGUCUGAAAACUUCUGUAGAUAAGGAGCCUAAGAAGCAUGAAAAACACCCGUCCGACGCACAAACAGACACAACAACACUCUACCUAUGCCUUUACAUAGCUGGCACCAUCAAACACACACAGCGCACCACAGAAUGCCACAGCAGAAUGAACAGGGACAUCAUAGAA
This 621-nucleotide long non-coding RNA is filed under the name Salmo salar (Atlantic salmon). RNAcentral's name for it is "lncRNA (ENSSSAG00000100720.1, ENSSSAG00020082776.1)". Lineage: Eukaryota; Metazoa; Chordata; Actinopteri; Salmoniformes; Salmonidae. The record is from RNAcentral.